UAUAAAAUGUUGUAUUUGCAUAUAGAAUUUUGAUUUCUUUGGUAAUAGAUAACUUCUAUUUUUUAUAU
Molecule: transfer RNA, 68 nt
Filed under: Iolania perkinsi
Lineage: Eukaryota; Metazoa; Arthropoda; Insecta; Hemiptera; Cixiidae
Description: tRNA-Gln
Source: RNAcentral